RNAcentral lists this ribosomal RNA (490 nucleotides) under uncultured bacterium. Its description in RNAcentral is "partial 16S ribosomal RNA". It matches the Rfam family "Bacterial small subunit ribosomal RNA", at positions 30 to 507 of the family's 1533-position model. The record is from RNAcentral.
AUUGAACGCUGGCGGCAGGCCUAACACAUGCAAGUCGAACGGUAACAGGAAGCAGCUUGCUGCUUUGCUGACGAGUGGCGGACGGGUGAGUAAUGUCUGGGAAACUGCCUGAUGGAGGGGGAUAACUACUGGAAACGGUAGCUACUACCGCAUAACGUCGCAAGACCAAAGAGGGGGACCUUCUGGCCUCUUGCCAUCGGAUGUGCCCAGGUGGGAUUAGCUAGUAGGUGGGGUAACGGCUCACCUAGGCGACGAUCCCUAGCUGGUCUGAGAGGAUGACCAGCCACACUGGAACUGAGACACGGUCCAGACUCCUACGGGAGGCAGCAGUGGGGAAUAUUGCACAAUGGGCGCAAGCCUGAUGCAGCCAUGCCGCGUGUAUGAAGAAGGCCUUCGGGUUGUAAAGUACUUUCAGCGGGGAGGAAGGGAGUAAAGUUAAUACCUUUGCUCAUUGACGUUACCCGCAGAAGAAGCACCGGCUAACUCCGUG